CCUACGGGUGGCAGCAGUGGGGGAUAUUGCACAAUGGGGGGAACCCUGAUGCAGCGACGCCGCGUGGGUGAAGGAGUGUUUCGGUGUGUAAAGCCCUAUCGGCAGGGAAGAAGAUGACGGUACCUGACUAAGAAGCCCCGGCUAACUCCGUGCCAGCAGCCGCGGUAAUACGUAGGGGGCAAGCGUUAUCCGGAUUUACUGGGUGUAAAGGGGGCGUAGACGGCAGUGCAAGUCAGGAGUGAAAGCCCGGGGCCCAACCCCGGGACUGCUUUGGAAACUGGAAGGCUGGAGUGCAGGAGGGGCAAGCGGAAUUCCUAGUGUAGCGGUGAAAUGCGUAGAUAUUAGGAGGAACACCAGUGGCGAAGGCGGCCUGCUGGACUGUAACUGACGUUGAGGCCCGAAGGCGUGGGGAGCAAACAGGAUUAGAUACCCCGGUAGUC
RNAcentral lists this ribosomal RNA (440 nucleotides) under uncultured bacterium. RNAcentral's name for it is "partial 16S ribosomal RNA". It matches the Rfam family "Bacterial small subunit ribosomal RNA", at positions 338 to 795 of the family's 1533-position model. The record is from RNAcentral.